Molecule: ribosomal RNA, 496 nt
Filed under: uncultured bacterium
Lineage: Bacteria
Description: partial 16S ribosomal RNA
Rfam family: Bacterial small subunit ribosomal RNA
Source: RNAcentral
GAUGAACGCUGGCGGCGUGCCUAAUACAUGCAAGUCGAGCGAACAGAUGAGGAGCUUGCUCCUCUGACGUUAGCGGCGGACGGGUGAGUAACACGUGGAUAACCUACCUAUAAGACUGGGAUAACUUCGGGAAACCGGAGCUAAUACCGGAUAAUAUAUUGAACCGCAUGGUUCAAUAGUGAAAGACGGUUUUGCUGUCACUUAUAGAUGGAUCCGCGCCGCAUUAGCUAGUUGGUAAGGUAACGGCUUACCAAGGCAACGAUGCGUAGCCGACCUGAGAGGGUGAUCGGCCACACUGGAACUGAGACACGGUCCAGACUCCUACGGGAGGCAGGAGUAGGGAAUCUUCCGCAAUGGGCGAAAGCCUGACGGAGCAACGCCGCGUGAGUGAUGAAGGUCUUCGGAUCGUAAAACUCUGUUAUUAGGGAAGAACAAAUGUGUAAGUAACUAUGCACGUCUGGACGGUACCUAAUCAGAAAGCCACGGCUAACUACGU